CCUACGGGUGGCAGCAGUGGGGAAUAUUGGUCAAUGGAGGAAACUCUGAACCAGCAACGCCGCGUGAAUGAUGAAGGUCUUCGGAUUGUAAAGUUCUUUUCUAAGGGAAGAAGAUAGUGACGGUACCUUAGGAAUAAGCCUCGGCUAACUACGGGCCAGCAGCCGCGGUAAUACGUAGGAGGCACGCGUUAUCCGGAAUGACUGGGCGUAAAGGGUGCGUAGGUGGUUUGGCAAGUUAGUAGCGGAACCUCGGGGCUCAACCUCGGAACUACUACUAAUACUGUCGGACGUGAGUGCAGGAGGGGCAAUUGGAAUUCCUAGUGUAGCGGUGGAAUGCGUAGAUAUUGGGAGGAACACCAGUGGCGAAGGCGACUUUCUGGACAGUAACUGACGUUGAGGCACGAAAGUGUGGGGAGCAAACAGGAUUAGAUACCCCAGUAGUC
This 443-nucleotide ribosomal RNA is filed under the name uncultured bacterium. RNAcentral's name for it is "partial 16S ribosomal RNA". It matches the Rfam family "Bacterial small subunit ribosomal RNA", at positions 338 to 795 of the family's 1533-position model. The record is from RNAcentral.